This 77-nucleotide transfer RNA is filed under the name Promethearchaeota archaeon. RNAcentral's name for it is "tRNA-Ile". It matches the Rfam family "tRNA". From Rfam's summary of the family: Transfer RNA (tRNA) molecules are approximately 80 nucleotides in length. Lineage: Archaea; Promethearchaeati; Promethearchaeota. RNAcentral also lists the same sequence under 3 other names. The record is from RNAcentral.
GGGCCGGUGGCCUAGCCUGGUAGGGCACUCGGCUGAUAACCGAGAGGUCGCGGGUUCGAAGCCCGUCCGGCCCACCA